AAAUUGAAGAGUUUGAUCAUGGCUCAGAUUGAACGCUGGCGGCAGGCCUAACACAUGCAAGUCGAACGGUAACAGGAAACAGCUUGCUGCUUUGCUGACGAGUGGCGGACGGGUGAGUAAUGUCUGGGAAACUGCCUGAUGGAGGGGGAUAACUACUGGAAACGGUGGCUAAUACCGCAUAAUGUCGCAAGACCAAAGAGGGGGACCUUCGGGCCUCUUGCCAUCAGAUGUGCCCAGAUGGGAUUAGCUGGUUGGUGAGGUAACGGCUCACCAAGGCGACGAUCCCUAGCUGGUCUGAGAGGAUGACCAGCCACACUGGAACUGAGACACGGUCCAGACUCCUACGGGAGGCAGCAGUGGGGAAUAUUGCACAAUGGGCGCAAGCCUGAUGCAGCCAUGCCGCGUGUAUGAAGAAGGCCUUCGGGUUGUAAAGUACUUUCAGCGGGGAGGAAGGUGUUGCGGUUAAUAACCGCAGCAAUUGACGUUACCCGCAGAAGAAGCACCGGCUAACUCCGUGCCAGCAGCCGCGGUAAUACGGAGGGUGCAAGCGUUAAUCGGAAUUACUGGGCGUAAAGCGCACGCAGGCGGUCUGUCAAGUCGGAUGUGAAAUCCCCGGGCUCAACCUGGGAACUGCAUUCGAAACUGGCAGGCUUGAGUCUUGUAGAGGGGGGUAGAA
RNAcentral lists this ribosomal RNA (676 nucleotides) under Salmonella enterica subsp. enterica serovar Havana. RNAcentral's name for it is "bacterial SSU rRNA". It matches the Rfam family "Bacterial small subunit ribosomal RNA", at positions 1 to 666 of the family's 1533-position model. The record is from RNAcentral. Lineage: Bacteria; Pseudomonadati; Pseudomonadota; Gammaproteobacteria; Enterobacterales; Enterobacteriaceae.